GGAGAGCUUGUGUGUCCUACUCCUAUGUCCAUUGAUACUCAUUGAAGCUUGUAUUUUCAAGGGUGUAGUUUCUUCCAACAAGUUGUUUGGAAGAUUUUGUGUUGGAGUUGGCUUGUUCAUGUUCAUGAGGUAACCCUUGUAUUUCUUCUCCUUUUUGGAUUGUGUUGGCUCAAGUGAUAUAUGUUGAUACUUAAGUAGAAAUCACUAUAAUUUGUUUAUUAUAGUGGAAGUUUGAUCGGAG
This 241-nucleotide long non-coding RNA is filed under the name Phoenix dactylifera (date palm). RNAcentral describes it as "long non-coding RNA (PDAC_LNC002111)". Lineage: Eukaryota; Viridiplantae; Streptophyta; Magnoliopsida; Arecales; Arecaceae. The record is from RNAcentral.